Molecule: ribosomal RNA, 418 nt
Filed under: uncultured bacterium
Lineage: Bacteria
Description: bacterial SSU rRNA
Rfam family: Bacterial small subunit ribosomal RNA
Source: RNAcentral
AUUGAACGCUGGCGGAAUGCUUUACACAUGCAAGUCGAACGGUAGAGGGGGCAACCCCUUGAGAGUGGCGAACGGGUGAGUAAUAUAUCGGAACGUGCCCAGUCGUGGGGAUAACGUAGCGAAAGUUACGCUAAUACCGCAUACGAUCUAAGGAUGAAAGCGGGGGAUCGCAAGACCUCGCGCGAUUGGAGCGGCCGAUAUCAGAUUAGGUAGUUGGUGAGGUAAAGGCUCACCAAGCCAACGAUCUGUAGCUGGUCUGAGAGGACGACCAGCCACACUGGAACUGAGACACGGUCCAGACUCCUACGGGAGGCAGCAGUGGGGAAUAUUGGACAAUGGGCGAAAGCCUGAUCCAGCCAUGCCGCGUGUGUGAGAAGGUCUUCGGAUUGUAAAGCACUUUAAGUUGGGUAGGAAGGGU